CCUGGUGCUGAUGGCGUGGUGGAACCACACUGAAUCCAUCCCCGAACUCAGAGGUGAAAACGCUACUGCGGCAACGAUAGUUGGAGGGUUGCCUCCCGCCAAAAUAGCUCGGCGCCAGGU
RNAcentral lists this ribosomal RNA (120 nucleotides) under Calothrix sp. PCC 6303. The record is from RNAcentral. Lineage: Bacteria; Bacillati; Cyanobacteriota; Cyanophyceae; Nostocales; Calotrichaceae.